Molecule: ribosomal RNA, 230 nt
Filed under: uncultured bacterium
Lineage: Bacteria
Description: partial 16S ribosomal RNA
Rfam family: Bacterial small subunit ribosomal RNA
Source: RNAcentral
GCGCAUGCAGGUGGUUUGUUAAGUCAGAUGUGAAAGCCCGGGGCUCAACCUCGGAAUUGCAUUUGAAAACUGGCAGACUAGAGUACUGUAGAGGGGGUAGAAUUUCAGGUGUAGCGGUGAAAUGCGUAGAGAUCUGAAGGAAUACCGGUGGCGAAGGCGGCCCCCUGGACAGAUACUGACACUCAGAUGCGAAAGCGUGGGGACGCAAACAGGAUUAGAUACCCUGGUAG